This is a non-coding RNA of Sturnus vulgaris (Common starling), 1521 nucleotides long. NCBI's taxonomy places the organism in Eukaryota, Metazoa, Chordata, Aves, Passeriformes, Sturnidae. The record is from RefSeq and is a predicted model, not a curated record.
ACUGCCAGAGGCAACUGCCCGAGGAGCUCGGCGCUCUCACACCUUGCUCCGGCUUAGUUGGACUUUCUUACCUCCCUGCCCAUUUCCUUUUGCCACGACAUGCACACACUGCUGGUGACACACAGAAACGACAGUGAGUGUGCAUAGCUGGAGGAUUUAAUUUCUGCCUCGAGCCUGCCUGCUUUGGACACCACAGCUUCAUCUCAAGGGCGUCCUGUGCUCCUCUGGCAUGGCUGGAAAUGUCUCCAUGACCUGGUGAUGUCCUCAGUGUGUCGCUGUGUGAAGGUGGAUGUCGCAUCCUGUGGCACUGCUGGAGCCUGUCCUGGACAGUCAAGGCCUUAUUUUCUGGCUGUGCCCCGCCGUGGGCAGAGCAGGAUUCUGGUUUUGUACAGCUGAGCUGCACUGGCUCAAACUUAGAUCGAGGGCUUCGUUUUGUUCUCAUGAAGCCUAAUUAGUGAUUAUUUUUUUAAUAGUCCUGAAUGUGGGCAAAUUGUUGAAAUUUCUACCUUGUGUACUUUGGAAGUGAACUCAGUUGAAAAGCUUGAGAAGUGCCAAAGGAUUGCUUGAAGGUAAAAACAAAACCUGUAACUGUGUGUAGUGACCUCCAGCUGGUUUGGGAUGGAUGGAAGGAGGCAGCCUGACCUCUUGGGAUAUUGUUUUGUGUAGAGUGAUGCACUUUUAAUUUCAACCGAAUACUAGUGAUUUAUUCUUUGCAUCUGUGAACCUCAAUCAAGGAAUUCCCCUCCUUUAGCCUGCCACGGUAAAGCUCCCCUGAGUUGGUCUGAGUUUAGCCUUUAGCAAUGGGUGUGUGACAUGCCAGCUGCUGAGGGGCUCUGCUGAAACCUGCUGGGGUUUGUUUUUUUCAGAAGCACAUUAUUUUGCAGCACUCUUCAGUGACAAGGGGCAGCUCCCUCCAGCCAGGUGGAAGGAAAACUGCCUUGUCCUGGAAACCUUUGCAACCAAAGAAGUGACUUCAUGGAUACACUCAGAAAGGUCAUUGAGUGUUGGCCUCACAUGUGCUGGUCCCGUUUGCCUGGUAUGCAGCUGGACUUGCUGGCUGCUCCCCAGCCUGGAGGGCUGUGAAUAUUUGCACAAGUGUAGCUUGGGACAGCAUUUGCAACCAGAGCCUGCCCUGCUCUUGAGGCUGCAGGGGUCUCCCACCAGAGGGCCAGGUCUGAAAUUCUGCCUUCUUCAGGUCUGUUCAGUUCAGCCUUCCGAGCACAAAGCGGGGUCGAGGCCAUUGCUGGAUUAAACCUUGGCUGUGUCUGUCCCUCUCUUGCUCUGCAGAACUCUCUGGGUGUUUGUCUUAACUGAGAGCCCCCACUUGCAGGAUGGGAUCCCUGCAUGCCCCGGGCCACCCAUCCCUAUCAAAAAGCCAUGGCUUGAGAUGCACAUUUUCAGGAAAAAAAUAGUGAGUAACCAUGAAAAUGCCUGAAAAUAAGGAUUUACCAGGCAGCCAAGAGCUGCUGGGGCUCAAGCCCCUGCUGUGCCUCCUGCAGGUCAGUGUCUCCCUGGGGCAGG